UACGUAGGGUGCGAGCGUUGUCCGGAAUUAUUGGGCGUAAAGAGCUCGUAGGCGGUGUGUCGCGUCGGCCGUGAAAACCUGGGGCUUAACUCUGGGCGUGCGGUCGAUACGGGCAUCACUAGAGUUCGGCAGGGGAGACUGGAAUUCCUGGUGUAGCGGUGGAAUGCGCAGAUAUCAGGAGGAACACCAAUAGCGAAGGCAGCUCGCUGGGACGUUACUGACACUGAGGCGCGAAAGCGUGGGGAGCGAACAGG
Molecule: ribosomal RNA, 254 nt
Filed under: uncultured bacterium
Lineage: Bacteria
Description: partial 16S ribosomal RNA
Rfam family: Bacterial small subunit ribosomal RNA
Source: RNAcentral